RNAcentral lists this ribosomal RNA (253 nucleotides) under uncultured bacterium. RNAcentral's name for it is "partial 16S ribosomal RNA". It matches the Rfam family "Bacterial small subunit ribosomal RNA", at positions 524 to 776 of the family's 1533-position model. The record is from RNAcentral.
UACAGAAGCCUCGAGCGUUACCCGGAUUCACUGGGCGUAAAGGGUGCGUAGGCGGUUAUAUUAGUCGAGCGUUAAAUCUUCGGGCUCAACCCGAAGCUCGCGUUCGAAACGGUAUAACUAGAAGAAGUGAGAGGUGAACAGAACUCUCGGUGUAGGGGUGAAAUCCGUUGAUAUCGAGGGGAAUACCAAAUGCGAAGGCAGUUCACUGGCACUUUCUUGACGCUGAGGCACGAAAGCGUGGGUAGCGAACGGG